AUGCAGUCGACGCUGAAGCACCAGCUUGCUGGUGUGGAUGAGUGGCGAACGGGUGAGUAAUACGUGAGUAACCUGCCCUUGACUCUGGGAUAAGCCCGGGAAACUGGGUCUAAUACUGGAUGCUACAUGUCACCGCAUGGUGGUGUGUGGAAAGGGUUUACUGGUCUUGGAUGGGCUCACGGCCUAUCAGCUUGUUGGUGAGGUAAUGGCUCACCAAGGCGACGACGGGUAGCCGGCCUGAGAGGGUGACCGGCCACACUGGGACUGAGACACGGCCCAGACUCCUACGGGAGGCAGCAGUGGGGAAUAUUGCACAAUGGGCGAAAGCCUGAUGCAGCGACGCCGCGUGAGGGAUGACGGCCUUCGGGUUGUAAACCUCUUUCAGCAGGGAAGAAGCCACAAGUGACGGUACCUGCAGAAGAAGCGCCGGCUAACUACGUGCCAGCAGCCGCGGUAAUACGUAGGGCGCAAGCGUUGUCCGGAAUUAUUGGGCGUAAAGAGCUCGUAGGCGGUUUGUCGCGUCUGCUGUGAAAGCCCGGGGCUUAACCCCGGGUGUGCAGUGGGUACGGGCAGACUAGAGUGCAGUAGGGGAGACUGGAAUUCCUGGUGUAGCGGUGGAAUGCGCAGAUAUCAGGAGGAACACCGAUGGCGAAGGCAGGUCUCUGGGCUGUUACUGACGCUGAGGAGC
Molecule: ribosomal RNA, 688 nt
Filed under: Kocuria palustris
Lineage: Bacteria; Bacillati; Actinomycetota; Actinomycetes; Micrococcales; Micrococcaceae
Description: bacterial SSU rRNA
Rfam family: Bacterial small subunit ribosomal RNA
Source: RNAcentral